CCUACGGGUGGCAGCAGUGGGGAAUAUUGGGCAAUGGAGGAAACUCUGACCCAGCAACGCCGCGUGAAGGAUGAAGGUAUUCGGAUUGUAAACUUCUUUCGCGAGGGAUGAAGAAUGAUGGAACCUCGUAAGAAAGCGCAGGCAAAAUACGUGCCAGCAGCCGCGGUACUACGUAGGGGGCGAGCGUUGACCGGAAUGACUGGGCGUAAAGGGAGUGUAGGCGGCUUAUUAAGUUAUGUGGGAAAGGCCGCGGCUCAACCGCAGAAUUGCACAUAAAACUGGGAAGCUGGAGUGCAGGAGAGGUAAGUGGAAUUCCCGGUGUAGCGGUGGAAUGCGUAGAUAUCGGGAGGAACACCAGAGGCGAAGGCGACUUACUGGACUGUAACUGACGCUGAGGCUCGAAAGCGUGGGGAGCAAACAGGAUUAGAUACCCUUGUAGUC
This 441-nucleotide ribosomal RNA is filed under the name uncultured bacterium. RNAcentral describes it as "partial 16S ribosomal RNA". It matches the Rfam family "Bacterial small subunit ribosomal RNA", at positions 338 to 795 of the family's 1533-position model. The record is from RNAcentral.